This 100-nucleotide non-coding RNA is filed under the name Callipepla squamata (scaled quail). RNAcentral's name for it is "Bag-1 internal ribosome entry site (IRES)". It matches the Rfam family "Bag-1 internal ribosome entry site (IRES)", at positions 271 to 370 of the family's 370-position model. From Rfam's summary of the family: This family represents the bag-1 internal ribosome entry site (IRES). The record is from Rfam by way of RNAcentral. Lineage: Eukaryota; Metazoa; Chordata; Aves; Galliformes; Odontophoridae.
AGAGGAGGUGGCACCGGGACAGGAGGUGGCAAUGUGAGAGGAGGUGGCACCGCGAGAGAAGAUGACACAGGGACAGGAGGUGGCACUGCCAGAGGAGGUG